Molecule: long non-coding RNA, 368 nt
Organism: Dromaius novaehollandiae (emu)
Lineage: Eukaryota; Metazoa; Chordata; Aves; Casuariiformes; Dromaiidae
Exons: 3
Source: RefSeq, a predicted model, not a curated record
AGUUUAACCCCUCUCCACAUAGCUGUAUCUAUUCCUGGGGAGGAAGGAGUCCAGAUAACACAGUACCUCCUGCAUUCUGCACCAGAUCUUGAUGCAAGGGCAGAAGAUGGAAAUGAGGUAUAUGGUCCAGACCAGGUUCCUCUGCCUCAAACCAGAGAAACCCAGUUGUCCCGUGGUGUCACUGUGCACCUGAAGAAUGAAGCAGGACCACCAAAAGGGUACUUCUCCUCCUAUUUUGGUCCUGUUCCAGAAGAAGGUGGAAGGAGUGCAUUGCAUAUUGCAUGCGAAAGAGAGGAUAACUGUGAGCAUGCCAGAGAUGUUAUCCGCCUCCUUUUAAUGCAUAAGGCAAAUCCAAACACACUGUGGAG